UGAGUCCAUUUCCUAGUAACAGAUUGUAUAAAUUUUCGCUUCACUGCAACAAAUAUACAUUUUUAAGCCUUAUAAUUAUAAUAAGAAAUUACAAUGAUUAGAAAGUAUUUCGGUAAUUGUUUACAAGUCGGGUUAGCUUCAUUUUGGGCCAUAAUUAGGUAACACUGCCUAAUAUUUCAUUGAAAUUCAAAUGAGAAGAAAACAUAGUGAAGGAAUAAAAAAGUUGAGCCAAUGACUCUAACGGUUUUCCCCUGUGACGAUCGAGCCGCAGGUGUCCUAAAGACUGAAAGAAAAAAUCUGUAAAGCCUGGUGUGAGACAGAGAAAUGUCCGUGGGGAACAAAAGAAAAAAAGGUUGUACGAUACCGAGGAAUUGUGUUCAAGAUACUCAUUAUUCACCUCAAGCUCAGUCAGAUAUCACGAUCCAGAAAGGAUCGUUUUCAUCGUUACCCUUGUUAAUUUUUGUGAUCCUUGGAGCUGAACUUGAAGAAUAGAAAGAAUAAUAUAACAGACAGAAUAUAAAUGGUGAUCGGACAACGUACCCGCAAUGUCUUCACAUCGGGGGUGCACUCGAGUUUGAAUACCCGUAGGUAAUGUCUCAAAUAACAGAAAAGCUAUUGACUUUAGUGUAUUUGUCGCCGUUCGAGGGUAAGGCACAAUUUCAGGCUUCACAGGAGGUCCAGGGAACAUUUUUCCUCCUCUUGGUCCAUUGUGUGACAAUGAGAUGAGAUUGAGGAAAACGUUUAUUUAGUGGCUCAGGCAUUUGGCUCGUGACUCGCACGCGCUUUUCUAUUUUAACAUUAAAUUAUACUUAAUUUACAUAACAAUAGUUAAAUAGUUGGAUCAUUUUUUCUUUUACACAUUUUUUUUGGUAAGUAAUAAUUUAUUUAUUUAUUUCAUUUUAUUUAAAUUAAACCCAACAGCCCAUAGGGCCAAUAACACACGCAGAAAAAAAUUUUGUUAAGAUAACAUAAGAUAUGUUGUGAUAACAAAAUUUACGUUAUAACAAUUAAUUGAUAUGUUAUAAUA
Molecule: long non-coding RNA, 1027 nt
Organism: Cotesia glomerata
Lineage: Eukaryota; Metazoa; Arthropoda; Insecta; Hymenoptera; Braconidae
Exons: 4
Source: RefSeq, a predicted model, not a curated record